GACGAACGCUGGCGGCGUGCUUAACACAUGCAAGUCGAACGGAAAGGCCCUGCUUUUGUGGUGUGCCCGAUUGGCGAACGGGUGAGUAACACGUGAGUAACCUGCCCUUGACUUUGGGAUAACUUCAGGAAACUGGGGCUAAUCCCGGAUCGGAGCUCCUGCGGCAUGGUGGGGGUGGGAAAGUUUCGGCGGUUGGGGAUGGACUCGCGGCUUAUCAGCUUGGUGGUGGGGGAGUGGCUUACCAAGGCUUGGACGGGUAGCCGGCCUGUGAGGGUGACCGGCCACAUUGGGACUGAGAGACGGCCCAGACGCCUACGGGAGGCAGCAGUGGGGAAUAUGGCACAAUGGGCGGAAGCCGGAGGCAGCAGCGCCGCGUGCGGGAUGACGGCCUUCGGGGUGUAAACCGCAGUCGCCUAUGACGACGCGGGAGUGACGGUAACGGGUAAAGAAGCACCGGCUAACUACGUG
Molecule: ribosomal RNA, 468 nt
Filed under: uncultured bacterium
Lineage: Bacteria
Description: partial 16S ribosomal RNA
Rfam family: Bacterial small subunit ribosomal RNA
Source: RNAcentral